Molecule: ribosomal RNA, 597 nt
Filed under: Papiliotrema flavescens
Lineage: Eukaryota; Fungi; Basidiomycota; Tremellomycetes; Tremellales; Rhynchogastremaceae
Description: LSU rRNA
Rfam family: Eukaryotic large subunit ribosomal RNA
Source: RNAcentral
AAACUAACAAGGAUUCCCCUAGUAACGGCGAGUGAACCGGGAAGAGCUCAAAUUUGAAAUCUGGCGUGCUCAGUGCGUCCGAGUUGUAAUCUAUAGAGUCGUUUUCCGUGCCGGACUGUGUCCAAGUCCCUUGGAACAGGGUAUCAAAGAGGGUGAUAAUCCCGUACUUGACACAAUGACCGGUGCUCUGUGAUACGUCUUCUACGAGUCGAGUUGUUUGGGAAUGCAGCUCAAAAUGGGUGGUGAGUUCCAUCUAAAGCUAAAUAUUGGCGAGAGACCGAUAGCGAACAAGUACCGUGAGGGAAAGAUGAAAAGCACUUUGGAAAGAGAGUUAAACAGUGCGUGAAAUUGUUAAAAGGGAAACGAUUGAAGUCAGUCGUGACUGAGAGGCUCAGCCGGUUCUGCCGGUGUAUUCCCCUCAGUCGGGUCAACAUCAGUUUUGUUCGGUGGAUAAGGGCAGUUGGAAGGUGGCACCCUCGGGUGUGUUAUAGCCAGCUGUCGCAUACAUCGGAUGAGACUGAGGAAUGCAGCUCGCCUUUAUGGCCGGGGUUCGCCCACGUUCGAGCUUAGGAUGUUGACAUAAUGGCUUUAAACGAC